This 73-nucleotide transfer RNA is filed under the name Candidatus Woesearchaeota archaeon. RNAcentral's name for it is "tRNA-Gln". It matches the Rfam family "tRNA". Rfam says of the family: Transfer RNA (tRNA) molecules are approximately 80 nucleotides in length. The record is from RNAcentral. Lineage: Archaea; Nanobdellati; Candidatus Woesearchaeota.
AGCCCCGUAGUCUAGUGGCCAAGGAUGCUAGCCUUUGGAGCUGGAGACCCAAGUUCGAAUCUUGGCGGGGCUA